RNAcentral lists this ribosomal RNA (344 nucleotides) under uncultured fungus. RNAcentral describes it as "SSU rRNA". It matches the Rfam family "Eukaryotic small subunit ribosomal RNA", at positions 292 to 636 of the family's 1831-position model. Lineage: Eukaryota; Fungi. The record is from RNAcentral.
GGUUCAUUCAAAUUUCUGCCCUAUCAACUUUCGACGGCUGGGUCUUGGCCAGCCAUGGUGACAACGGGUAACUGGAGGUUAGGGCUCGACCCCGGAGAAGGAGCCUGAGAAACGGCUACUACAUCCAAGGAAGGCAGCAGGCGCGCAAAUUACCCAAUCCCGACCGGGGAGGUAGUGACAAUAAAUACUGAUACAGGGCUCUUUUGGGUCUUGUAAUUGGAAUGAGUACAAUUUACAUCCCUUAACGAGGAACAAUUGGAGGGCAAGUCUGGUGCCAGCAGCCGCGGUAAUUCCAGCUCCAAUAGCGUAUAUUAAAGUUGUUGAGGUUAAAAAGCUCGUAGUUG